RNAcentral lists this ribosomal RNA (464 nucleotides) under uncultured bacterium. RNAcentral describes it as "partial 16S ribosomal RNA". It matches the Rfam family "Bacterial small subunit ribosomal RNA", at positions 29 to 507 of the family's 1533-position model. The record is from RNAcentral.
ACGAACGCUGGCGGCGUGCUUCACACCUGCAAGUCGAACGGAAAGGCCCCCUUGUGGGGUACUCGAGUGGCGAACGGGUGAGUAACACGUGAGUAACCUACCCUUGACUUUGGGAUAACUUCAGGAAACUGGGGCUAAUACCGGAUAGGAGCUCCUGCUGCAUGGUGGGGGUUGGAAAGUUUUGGCGGUUGGGGAUGGACUCGCGGCUUAUCAGCUUGUUGGUGGGGUAGUGGCUCACCAAGGCUUUGACGGGUAGCCGGCCUGAGAGGGUGACCGGCCACAUUGGGACUGAGAUACGGCCCAGACUCCUACGGGAGGCAGCAGUGGGGAAUAUUGCACAAUGGGCGGAAGCCUGAUGCAGCAACGCCGCGUGCGGGAUGACGGCCUUCGGGUUGUAAACCGCUUUCGCCUGUGACGAAGCGUGAGUGACGGUAAUGGGUAAAGAAGCACCGGCUAACUACGUG